GACGAACGCUGGCGGCGCGCCUAACACAUGCAAGUCGAACGGAGAUACCAGAAAGAUCCUUUCGGGGUGAAUUUUGACUAUCUUAGUGGCGGACGGGUGAGUAACACGUGAGCAACCUGCCUUACAGAGGGGGAUAACAUCUGGAAACGGAUGCUAAUACCGCAUAACAUUUUGAAACCGCAUGGUUUUGAGAUCAAAGAUUUUAUCGCUGUAAGAUGGGCUCGCGUCCGAUUAGCUAGUUGGUGAGGUAACGGCCCACCAAGGCGACGAUCGGUAGCCGGACUGAGAGGUUGAACGGCCACAUUGGGACUGAGACACGGCCCAGACUCCUACGGGAGGCAGCAGUGGGGGAUAUUGCACAAUGGGGGAAACCCUGAUGCAGCGACGCCGCGUGAGGGAAGAAGGUUUUCGGAUUGUAAAGCUCUGUUGCAGAGGACGAUAAUGACGGUACUCUGUGAGGAAGCCACGGCUAACUACGUGCCAGCAGCCGCCGUAACAC
RNAcentral lists this ribosomal RNA (499 nucleotides) under uncultured bacterium. RNAcentral describes it as "bacterial SSU rRNA". It matches the Rfam family "Bacterial small subunit ribosomal RNA", at positions 28 to 526 of the family's 1533-position model. The record is from RNAcentral.